Molecule: unclassified non-coding RNA, 247 nt
Filed under: plant metagenome
Description: partial contains small subunit ribosomal RNA, internal transcribed spacer 1, and 5.8S ribosomal RNA
Rfam family: Eukaryotic small subunit ribosomal RNA (bases 1-54)
Source: RNAcentral
AGAAGUAAAAGUCGUAACAAGGUCUCCGUUGGUGAACCAGCGGAGGGAUCAUUACAGGACUCGCAAGACUCCUACAACCCUGUGAACUUAACUAUAAGCACGUUGCUUCGGCGGGUGUCUCGGAGGGGGUUCUCCCUCCCCGAGACGCUAAACCCGCCGGCAGCCUACUAUACUCUGUCUCUUUGCGUUGGCAUCUCGAGUACAAUCAAACAAGUUAAAACUUUCAACAACGGAUCUCUUGGUUCUG